AGCUAAAGACAAAGUGACUGUUUGCUGACAACAUACAAGUACCCACGCUCUUUAUAUAUAAUUUGUCUGCUGUUGGGGUUGUUUUACUGGUUGAAAAAAUGGCAUAUUUGGAGGAAAUAUUGCGAAAACUCGGCUGGGACGACGGCUUCCAGAUGCCGGUAGCAAACUCAGAAAAUCAAGCUCUUGAGCAGGAGCUGGCGAAGCUGACUUUGCAUAAAGUCAAAGCCAAAUCCAUCUUGGACAAUUCGCAGAGCCGCUUGACCAACUUGAAAGAGCAUUUUAAGUUCGUGACCCAAGAAAACGAGCAAACGCAGAAAAUCAUAACUGCCCAUAAGCAACAGUACGAUAGCGAAGCCAACCAAUACCAUGCGCUCAAAGGCGAGAAAAACAAACUGGAGCAUGAUGUUGCAGAAGUGGACAAACGGAUAAAACUGCUAGCAGAAGACAAAGGGAAGCAAAAGAAAAAUCUUGAAAAAGCCGUGAUAAAGGUGGACAGAAUAAAGCGAGAAACCGGCUGGGACAUCGAGGCGCUAAAGGCAUGGGAAGAAGCUCUGAAAAAGCGGGACGACGACAACGAGUUGAUCAAGAAAUUUUCCAAGGAAGACGAAAGACGAUUCAAUGAACUGGAAGCAAGGCGGCAAUUUCUGCAAAGCGAAUACGAUGCCAAAAACUUCACAAUCAGUAAAAUGGUGUGCGACUUGCACAGCUGUGAAAUGAUCAUAGAAAGAACUGGAAAAGCAAUUAAACAGCAAAUAAACGAACGGGAAAACUUAAUCAAGCAAUGGAAAGACACUGUUAAAAUGCUACAGCAACGCGACGCAGACAUCGACGCCCGACAGGAACGCAUUCUGGAAGCAGAAACGGUCCUGGAACAGCAGCAGGAGCAUUUGGAGGAAGAAAAUUCGAUGCUGAAAAAUGAGCAGAAGAAUAAUCAUGUCAUUGAGCUGGAAUUGGAGCAACUAAACGCAGCCAAUUCGCGAAUGCGAAGAGAGCUUGGAGACCUGCAACAGACGAUGUAUGCUAUUGUUAAUGAGUGCCACACGCUCAAACGCCGUGUAACAGCAUCAGCAAACAAUCUGGAAAAGCUGAGAAUACAGAAACGACAAAUGGAUGUAGAGAUGGACCAAAAAGAAAGAAAAUGCAUCAAAGACCAAGCAGAGAUGGAAAGCAUAGAAAGUAAAAUCGCAGAAAUGAAGGGCAGCAACUUGUCCUCAACAGAGCGAAUAAGACGAAUAAGAAAACUCAUGGAAAGCGAAGAGAAGCGUUGCUCCGUCCUGAUGGCCGAUACCGAGAAAAUCAACAGCAAUCUUUACAGAACGGAUCAGCUGCUCAAAGAUCAGCAACAAGUCGGCAAAUCGUUGGAGAUUCAGAUCAACAACAGCUACUGCAUAUGCAAUAAGCUUCGCAAGCAUAUCCGGGAUGAGGAAAAAAGCCUGGAGAAGUUAAAAGAAGUUGUGUAUGACAUGGAGUUUAGAAUCGACGAAUUCGAACAACGGCUGUGCAAGCUGGAAGGCUCAAACAAACCGGAUGAUCAUGCGGAUGAAAAGGAUGAGAAAAUCAGGGAGUUGGAAACCACUUUGUAUGAUCAUGCAGAGGUUCAGCACACGCUUCAAAGUCAAGUGGAUCGCCUGCAGGACGAAAUGCGAAAAUUGUCGAAUUUUAUUGCUGCCGAUAGAGAGCACUUGGAAAACCUGCAAAACCAAGUCGAAAACCACUUGUUAGUGUAUGAUAUAGGCAGGAAGCAAAUUGCUGCAGCAAAAAAAUCCACACAAGAGAAGCAGGUCGAGGAAAACAUCAUGCGCUUAAGAAUCAACCACAUUGAGACCGAUAUGCAUAAGGAGGAAAAGCGCAUAUUCAGUCUGCAGAAGCUGAGACUAACACUUGACCAGGUAAUGAAGGAACGGAACCUGGAGAUUGACACAAAAAGAUCAAUAGUUUUAACGAAAAAACGCAACCUCGAAGAGGAGAAAGGCAGACUUAAAGGCGACAUCUCCAUACGAAAAAUCAAGCUUGAGCAGUUCCAAAAAAAGUACCAUAUAGAACUGAUGUCCCUGGGCAAAGAUGAAGAUGGGCAACCGUUAUCGGUAACUCAUUUUAAAAUAAAAAGCGCCCAGGAGAAGUUCUUCUUGCAGCAGCAAGGAGACGAAUUGGAUAAGAAAAUUAAGGUGGCCGAAAAGGAAAUUGUGGCCAUUGAAAACACACUGAAAAUGAUCAACUUGACAAAUGUGGCGUUUAAGAACAAUUUAUCACCACUUAAAGAUGAUGAUGUCACUAUUCAAGAAAUGAAAGUUUUGGAAAACAAAUACAAAGACUGGACACAGAAAUGCAGAGAAGCUAAGCAAGAAUUAGCAAAACAUCAGGCAAUUUUUGAUGAUUUAACCAAAGAACUGAAUGAGGUUUUGAUGCCAGUGCGGAUGGAGAACAAAGAACUAGUCGAUAAACUAGAGGAGGAGAAUAUUGUCAUCGAGAAACAGGAAAGAACCAAAGAGGAAAAACUGAAAAGAACUGAGACGCAGAUAAGAAAAGCGUUGAAGAACCUACGCUCAAAAGAUAUUUCUAUUUACGACCAAGAUCUGGAAGUGAGACAACUGAAAGAUGCAAAUAAUACUGUUGUGAAACGACUGUGUUCCAUGAUGAAGGAGUAUGCGGAUGUGGCUCCAAACAUUAGCAAAUAUUCAGCCGAACACAACAUCGACUUAAAAUCGCAAAACAGUUUAAGUUCGGAUAGUUUCUCAACGGCAUCGAGUAUCAGCUCGCCGUCCAGCACUAGAAGUCUUACGACCAGAUUUAACCCUGUGGUUGUAUCAAAGGUCGAUUUAUCCUUCAAUUAGUUGAGCUAGCUGUAGUUUGUUCAUGAAAAAUUUCAUUUAUUCAAAUAUAUGGUCCAUUCCAGGCGGCAACGGCUCCAGAGGACGCACUGCGGCUAAAUUCGACAUGUGGCCCGCUGGUGGUAGAAUACUCUCGUCUGGGAUCUAGAUGAUUGUUCAAAAUGCAAUGUAAAUAAUUGGCAGGAGAAUAAAAAUCAGCAAUUA
RNA transcript from Dendroctonus ponderosae (mountain pine beetle), 3032 nucleotides. It is a transcript of the gene named coiled-coil domain-containing protein 39, with no coding region annotated. The record is from RefSeq and is a predicted model, not a curated record. NCBI's taxonomy places the organism in Eukaryota, Metazoa, Arthropoda, Insecta, Coleoptera, Curculionidae. The transcript is spliced from 14 exons.